GACGAACGCUGGCGGCGUGCCUAAUACAUGCAAGUAGAACGCUGAAGGAGGAGCUUUCUUCCCUGGAUGAGUUGCGCACGGGUGAGUAACGCGUAGGUAACCUGCCCGGUAGCGGGGGAUAACAAUUGGAAACGCUAGCUAAUACCGCAUAAGAGUAGAUGUUGCAUGAGAUUUGCUUAAAAGAUGCAAUUGUACCACUACCAGAUGGACCUGCGUUGUAUUAGCUAGUUGGUGGGGUAACGGCUUACCAAGGGGACGAUACAUAGCCGACCUGAGAGGGGGAUCGGCCAAACUGGGACUGGGACACGGCCCAAACUCCUACGGGAGGCAGCAGUAGGGAAUCUUCGGCAAUGGACGGAAGGCUGAACGAGCAAAGCCGCGGGAGGGAAGAAGGUUUUCGGAUCGUAAAGCUCUGUUGUAAGAGAAGAACGAGAGUGAGAGUGGAAAGUUCACACUGUGACGGUACCUAAUCAGAAAGGGACGGCUAACUACGUG
Molecule: ribosomal RNA, 495 nt
Filed under: uncultured bacterium
Lineage: Bacteria
Description: partial 16S ribosomal RNA
Rfam family: Bacterial small subunit ribosomal RNA
Source: RNAcentral